UUGCAAUGAUGAUAAUUUUAAUGUUGAUGAAAGUCAUGAGAACUCAGACAUGGUGGAGACCAUGUUGAUUCUGAGCGGUUACCUGAGCAA
Molecule: non-coding RNA, 90 nt
Organism: Thalictrum thalictroides
Lineage: Eukaryota; Viridiplantae; Streptophyta; Magnoliopsida; Ranunculales; Ranunculaceae
Source: the annotation of a GenBank genome assembly